RNAcentral lists this ribosomal RNA (298 nucleotides) under uncultured bacterium. RNAcentral's name for it is "partial 16S ribosomal RNA". It matches the Rfam family "Bacterial small subunit ribosomal RNA", at positions 334 to 630 of the family's 1533-position model. The record is from RNAcentral.
UUUUCCUACGGGGGGCAGCAGUGAGGAAUAUUGGUCAAUGGCCGGAAGGCUGAACCAGCCAAGCCGCGUGAAGGACGAAGGUGCCAAGCAUUGUAAACUUCUUUUGUCAAGGGACAAAAUCAGGCUCGAGAGCCUGACCGAGGGUACUUGAAGAAAAAGCAUCGGCUAACUCCGUGCCAGCAGCCGCGGUAAUACGGAGGAUGCGAGCGUUAUCCGGAUUUAUUGGGUUUAAAGGGUGCGCAGGCGGGCUGUUAAGCCGGCGGUAAAAAUUCAGGGCUCAACCCUGUCGAGCCGUCGG